CCUACGGGUGGCAGCAGUAGGGAAUUUUUCGCAAUGGGGGAAACCCUGACGCAGCAACACCGCGUGGAUGUUAAGCCCUUCGGGGUGUAAAGUUCUGUCAAUAGGGACGAAUUUUGACUGUACUUAUAAAGGAAGCACCGUCUAACUCCGUGCCCGCAGCCGCGGUAAUACGGCGGGUGGAAGCUUUGUCCGGCAUCUUUGGGCGUAAAGCGUUCGUAGGCGGUAUGUCACGUCUGAUGGUAAAACCAGGGGCUCAACUCCGGUUCCGCAUUGGAUACUGGCAAACUAGAGUGUGGUAGAGGUAAAGGGAAUUCCUGGUGGAGCGGUGAAAUGAGUAGAUAGCAGGAGGAACAUCGGUGGCGAAAGCGCUUUACUGGACCAUUAUUGACGCUGAGGAACGAAAGCCAGGGGAGCAAAUGGGAUUAGAUACCCUGGUAGGC
Molecule: ribosomal RNA, 440 nt
Filed under: uncultured bacterium
Lineage: Bacteria
Description: partial 16S ribosomal RNA
Rfam family: Bacterial small subunit ribosomal RNA
Source: RNAcentral